This 499-nucleotide ribosomal RNA is filed under the name uncultured Pseudomonadota bacterium. RNAcentral's name for it is "bacterial SSU rRNA". It matches the Rfam family "Bacterial small subunit ribosomal RNA", at positions 201 to 681 of the family's 1533-position model. The record is from RNAcentral. Lineage: Bacteria; Pseudomonadati; Pseudomonadota.
CCAAAGAGGGGGACCUUCGGGCCUCUUGCCAUCGGAUGUGCCCAGAUGGGAUUAGCUUGUUGGUGGGGUAACGGCUCACCAAGGCGACGAUCCCUAGCUGGUCUGAGAGGAUGACCAGCCACACUGGAACUGAGACACGGUCCAGACUCCUACGGGAGGCAGCAGUGGGGAAUAUUGCACAAUGGGCGCAAGCCUGAUGCAGCCAUGCCGCGUGUAUGAAGAAGGCCUUCGGGUUGUAAAGUACUUUCAGCGGGGAGGAAGGGAGUAAAGUUAAUACCUUUGCUCAUUGACGUUACCCGCAGAAGAAGCACCGGCUAACUCCGUGCCAGCAGCCGCGGUAAUACGGAGGGUGCAAGCGUUAAUCGGAAUUACUGGGCGUAAAGCGCACGCAGGCGGUUUGUUAAGUCAGAUGUGAAAUCCCCGGGCUCAACCUGGGAACUGCAUCUGAUACUGGCAAGCUUGAGUCUCGUAGAGGGGGGUAGAAUUCCAGGUGUAGCGG